UCCCACUGUCAAUGUCUAUGUUGAGGGAG
This 29-nucleotide non-coding RNA is filed under the name Homo sapiens (human). Lineage: Eukaryota; Metazoa; Chordata; Mammalia; Primates; Hominidae. The record is from RNAcentral.